CGGCGGAGAACCUUACCCAAGGCUUGACAUAUAACGAGAACGGGCCAGAAAUGGUCAACUCUUUGGACACUCGUAAANCAGGUGGUGCAUGGUUGUCGUCAGCUCGUGUCGUGAGAUGUUGGGUUAAGUCCCGCAACGAGCGCAACCCUCGUUCUAUGUUGCCAGCACGUAAUGGUGGGAACUCAUAGGAGACUGCCGGGGUCAACUCGGAGGAAGGUGGGGAUGACGUCAAAUCAUCAUGCCCCUUAUGUCUUGGGCUUCACGCAUGCUACAAUGGCCGGUACAAAGGGCUGCAAUACCGUAAGGUGGAGCGAAUCCCAAAAAGCCGGUCUCAGUUCGGAUUGAGGUCUGCAACUCGACCUCAUGAAGUCGGAGUCGCUAGUAAGUCGCAGAUAACA
RNAcentral lists this ribosomal RNA (398 nucleotides) under Leifsonia poae. RNAcentral's name for it is "bacterial SSU rRNA". It matches the Rfam family "Bacterial small subunit ribosomal RNA", at positions 959 to 1354 of the family's 1533-position model. Lineage: Bacteria; Bacillati; Actinomycetota; Actinomycetes; Micrococcales; Microbacteriaceae. The record is from RNAcentral.